UACGGGGGGGGCAAGCGUUGUUCGGAAUUACUGGGCGUAAAGGGCUCGUAGGCGGCCAUCUAAGUCGGACGUGAAAUCCCUCGGCUUAACCGGGGAACUGCGUCCGAUACUGGAGGGCUUGAGUUCGAGAGAGGUGAGUGGAACUGCGAGUGUAGAGGUGAAAUUCGUAGAUAUUCGCAAGAACACCAGUGGCGAAGGCGGCUCACUGGCUCGAUACUGACGCUGAGGUGCGAAAGCGUGGGGAGCAAACAGG
This 253-nucleotide ribosomal RNA is filed under the name uncultured bacterium. Its description in RNAcentral is "partial 16S ribosomal RNA". It matches the Rfam family "Bacterial small subunit ribosomal RNA", at positions 524 to 776 of the family's 1533-position model. The record is from RNAcentral.